CAAAUAAUAGUAUAUACCCUAUUACAUAGAUUUUGGAGAUCUAAAAAAAUAAGAAAUUUUAUUUGU
Molecule: non-coding RNA, 66 nt
Organism: Varroa destructor (honeybee mite)
Lineage: Eukaryota; Metazoa; Arthropoda; Arachnida; Mesostigmata; Varroidae
Source: the annotation of a RefSeq genome assembly